GCCGAAUUCUGAAUUUCCUAAUUCUAUUACCCCCCAUUGGUAGAUUUAGGGUUAGUCAAAUCAAGGCAAGUCA
Sinocyclocheilus anshuiensis is the source of this 73-nucleotide long non-coding RNA. RefSeq lists it as uncharacterized. The transcript is spliced from 3 exons. NCBI's taxonomy places the organism in Eukaryota, Metazoa, Chordata, Actinopteri, Cypriniformes, Cyprinidae. The record is from RefSeq and is a predicted model, not a curated record.